ACUGGGGCUUGUUUUAGCAGCAUUGAUUAAGUUGUCAUUGAUUUUCAAGAUAGGAAAUAGAACUUUCAAAUUUCCCACAUGAAUUUUAAAUAAGUCAGAUAUUAACAACAAGAUAAAACAUUUACCAUGGCAAUGACAGAAUAGUCAAGUAUCAUUCAAAACCUUUCAAGGCUCACAAAGAGCAUAUGGAUUCUAGAUGUCAAUACAUACAUGACUAGGAACUUACCUGGAGACACACAGCCAGCAAGAUGAGCAUCUGGAGCAGAGAGGAAUUUUUUCAAAAUUUAUCCAGAUUUUCUGAAUCUUCUUAUAAAGGAAAAAUAUCUUAUGCCUGCAUAAAUGAAAGGAGACCAAGAUUAUUGACUUAUUCAUUUAGCAAAUACAUAGUGAGCCCCUAUCCUCCACUAGGCAUUGUGCUAAAUACUAAGGAUAUAGUAAUGAUAAGAUACAUAAUCCUUUACCUCAUCAGGCUCUGCUCCUAGUGGGUAGACAAAAGAAAAGCAGAAAAAGAUGACAACACAACGGGCUGAAAUGACCAUAAUACCGGUAUGUGCCAGGUACUGAGAGAGGACGAAGGCUUCACGAGCGUGUUUGAAACCAAGACUUGAUAGGGAAUUUUACUUUAACGGAAGAUAGCGGUGAGGGCUUGAACACUAAGGAAUUAAUGAGAGAUCAGGCCCCUUUAGCGACUCAAAGCAUAUUAUAACUCCAGCUGGUCAAAAAGAGAGGAAAUAAAUAAUAUAACAGGAACAACUGGAAGAGCAAGUGCAGCAUCAGGUUGGUGCAUUUCUUCUGAUCAAAAGGUCGAAUUGCAACUGGUCUUUGAAGAGUGUGCUGGUGACAGUGUGCAACCUUUGCAGGUAGCUCCUGGACUGGCCCUAGACUGCUGUCAAAUUAAACCAGCACUGUAAAGAAGAGAGCAAGUUGAAUGAAGUUGAAUGAAGGGGCAUCUUAAUUCCAAUCCUGGCUCUAAUGCUGACUGUAAGCAUGACCCCGGAUGAGUUAUUCACUCUCUCAGUCUCAGUCUCCUCAUCCACAAAGCAGGGAUCACAAUAAAUGAAUAGCACCUUUCACAGAACCCACCAUAUAUACUGAGUGUUCAAUAAAUACCGUGUUCAUCAUCUAACAUCAUAACACAUUGAGCAUCCAUCAAAGCAGAAGUAGUUCGCACCUGGAUAUUUCUGUUUCUUUUUUUUUUUUUGCUAUCCUACUGGUGUUUUACUUAAAUUUAGUGUGGUAAUAUGAAAGAAAAUUAC
RNAcentral lists this long non-coding RNA (1256 nucleotides) under Homo sapiens (human). Its description in RNAcentral is "HSALNT0097196". Lineage: Eukaryota; Metazoa; Chordata; Mammalia; Primates; Hominidae. The record is from RNAcentral.